Molecule: unclassified non-coding RNA, 364 nt
Filed under: uncultured bacterium
Lineage: Bacteria
Description: contains 16S-23S intergenic spacer region
Source: RNAcentral
UCCGCCUUGGAGGCGGCAGUCUCCCAUGAAAGAACAACAUAGGAUGAGGGUUGCGCUCGUUCGCUGACUUAACAGUACACCUCAAGGCACGAGCUGACGACAACCGUGCAGCGCCUGUCUUCGGGUUCCUUGCGGCACUUCCCCGUUUCCGGGAAAUUCCCGAGAUGUCAAGCCUAGGUGAGGUUCUUCGGUUACUAUCGAAUUAAACCCCAUGCUCCACCGCUUGUGUGGGUCCCCGUCUAUUCCUUUGAGUUUUAGUCUUGCGACCGUACUUCCCAGGCGGCGAGCUUACCGCGUUAGCUUGGACACGGAAGGCAAUUGAGAACCUCCCACAUCGAGCUCGCAUCGUUUAGGGCGUGGACUA